This 229-nucleotide ribosomal RNA is filed under the name uncultured bacterium. RNAcentral's name for it is "partial 16S ribosomal RNA". It matches the Rfam family "Bacterial small subunit ribosomal RNA", at positions 568 to 796 of the family's 1533-position model. The record is from RNAcentral.
UCCGUAGGCGGGCAAUUAAGUCAGAGGUGAAAUCCCACAGCUCAACUGUGGAACUGCCUUUGAUACUGGUUGUCUUGAGUUACAGUGAAGUAGAUGGAAUAUGUAGUGUAGCGGUGAAAUGCAUAGAUAUUACAUAGAAUACCGAUUGCGAAGGCAGUCUACUAACUGUAUACUGACGCUAAUGGACGAAAGCGUGGGGAGCGAACAGGAUUAGAUACCCUGGUAGUCC